Molecule: microRNA precursor, 124 nt
Organism: Brassica oleracea var. oleracea
Lineage: Eukaryota; Viridiplantae; Streptophyta; Magnoliopsida; Brassicales; Brassicaceae
Rfam family: MIR9563 microRNA precursor family
Source: Rfam
AGAAUAUAAAAACCCGUCUCUUAACUUUUAAUACAAAAGCUAAGAACUGAUUUUUAAAUAAGAGUUUUAAGAGCCGGUUCUUAACUUUUUUAGUUAAAAAUUAAGAGAUGUGUUCUUAUAUUCC